RNAcentral lists this ribosomal RNA (1343 nucleotides) under uncultured bacterium. Its description in RNAcentral is "16S ribosomal RNA". It matches the Rfam family "Bacterial small subunit ribosomal RNA", at positions 28 to 1378 of the family's 1533-position model. The record is from RNAcentral.
GACGAACGCUGGCGGCGUGCUUAACACAUGCAAGUCGAACGGAAAGGCCCUGCUUUUGUGGGGUGCUCGAGUGGCGAACGGGUGAGUAACACGUGAGUAACCUGCCCUUGACUUUGGGAUAACUUCAGGAAACUGGGGCUAAUACCGGAUAGGAGCUCCUGCUGCAUGGUGGGGGUUGGAAAGUUUCGGCGGUUGGGGAUGGACUCGCGGCUUAUCAGCUUGUUGGUGGGGUAGUGGCUUACCAAGGCUUUGACGGGUAGCCGGCCUGAGAGGGUGACCGGCCACAUUGGGACUGAGAUACGGCCCAGACUCCUACGGGAGGCAGCAGUGGGGAAUAUUGCACAAUGGGCGGAAGCCUGAUGCAGCAACGCCGCGUGCGGGAUGACGGCCUUCGGGUUGUAAACCGCUUUCGCCUGUGACGAAGCGUGAGUGACGGUAAUGGGUAAAGAAGCACCGGCUAACUACGUGCCAGCAGCCGCGGUGAUACGUAGGGUGCGAGCGUUGUCCGGAUUUAUUGGGCGUAAAGGGCUCGUAGGUGGUUGAUCGCGUCGGAAGUGUAAUCUUGGGGCUUAACCCUGAGCGUGCUUUCGAUACGGGUUGACUUGAGGAAGGUAGGGGAGAAUGGAAUUCCUGGUGGAGCGGUGGAAUGCGCAGAUAUCAGGAGGAACACCAGUGGCGAAGGCGGUUCUCUGGGCCUUUCCUGACGCUGAGGAGCGAAAGCGUGGGGAGCGAACAGGCUUAGAUACCCUGGUAGUCCACGCUGUAAACGGUGGGUACUAGGUGUGGGGUCCAUUCCACGGGUUCCGUGCCGUAGCUAACGCUUUAAGUACCCCGCCUGGGGAGUACGGCCGCAAGGCUAAAACUCGAAGGAAUUGACGGGGCCCCGCACAAGCGGCGGAGCAUGCGGAUUAAUUCGAUGCAACGCGUAGAACCUUACCUGGGUUUGACAUGGAUCGGGAGUGCUCAGAGAUGGGUGUGCCUCUUUUGGGGUCGGUUCACAGGUGGUGCAUGGCUGUCGUCAGCUCGUGUCGUGAGAUGUUGGGUUAAGUCCCGCAACGAGCGCAACCCUUGUUCACUGUUGCCAGCACGUUAUGGUGGGGACUCAGUGGAGACCGCCGGGGUCAACUCGGAGGAAGGUGGGGAUGACGUCAAGUCAUCAUGCCCCUUAUGUCCAGGGCUUCACGCAUGCUACAAUGGCUGGUACAGAGAGUGGCGAGCCUGUGAGGGUGAGCGAAUCUCGGAAAGCCGGUCUCAGUUCGGAUUGGGGUCUGCAACUCGACCUCAUGAAGUCGGAGUCGCUAGUAAUCGCAGAUCAGCAACGCUGCGGUGAAUACGUUCCCGGG